CUGCUUUUAUUACGUUGGUAAAUUCUGCACAGACAUCACACAAACCAACUCGCGCGCUAAGUAAGAAGACUAUAUGAAGGCUUGAAAUUACAUUUCGAUCGAUUUUCGUAAAGAAAUGGGCCAGGAAUAUUCCACAAAAGUGCAAAUAAUCGUGAAAGCUGAUCGCGGAAAAGCGAUUGCGUGACGCUCGAGAUCAAAUCCAGAUGAAGAAAAUCAGCUGAAACCAGAACUGAAGUUACAUGUAGAAGUGCUGCACAAAAAUUGAUCCACUCAGUUACUGGGUUGCAUCAGUGGUAGAUUCCUAUGGCUUGAGACUCAGGUUACCACUAGAAGGAUUGGAAGAUAAAGCUGAUGGUGUUUUGGUUUACUUCCUGUCUGAUACUGAUCACCAACUUGGGAAGAAAAAGAAGUUGAGACUCAACAUUCCUCCUGAAUUUGAAAAUUCUACAACCUUGAUAAAAACAUGUGAUGCAUGAGGUGCAUGCAGCCAAGUGUGUCCUGAUGUUCUAAUCACAUUUAGAUGUGUUUAGUGAUCUGUUACGGUACAAACCCAUGGCAACAUGGAAUCUGUUUGUUUUAUAUGAUGAAAAAGAAAACUUUGUUGAUGGAGAUGUCUUCUGUGCAUCUCUCUACCAAUAGAUCAUAAGAAAGUGCUCAAAAUGCAGGCAUAAUUCAGCUUAUCAUAUAAAAACCAAGUAUGAAAAUAUUGAAAUUGGGCUAUCAGUGUAUAUUUGAUGUGAUGUUUGAUAAUUGUACCUCUUCUUCAGUCUGACAGCUUGCCAAGGCCACAUGCAUGGAUUUACAAAGUGUUUGAAGCUAGAAGGUGUGAAUCCCAGUGAUCCUUCUUCCAUCUGUGCUGCUAUGGUUACCAAAAUACCUAGC
Non-coding RNA from Pocillopora verrucosa, 882 nucleotides. The record is from RefSeq and is a predicted model, not a curated record. NCBI's taxonomy places the organism in Eukaryota, Metazoa, Cnidaria, Anthozoa, Scleractinia, Pocilloporidae.